This 440-nucleotide ribosomal RNA is filed under the name uncultured bacterium. Its description in RNAcentral is "partial 16S ribosomal RNA". It matches the Rfam family "Bacterial small subunit ribosomal RNA", at positions 338 to 795 of the family's 1533-position model. The record is from RNAcentral.
CCUACGGGAGGCAGCAGUGGGGGAUAUUGCACAAUGGGGGAAACCCUGAUGCAGCGACGCCGCGUGAGCGAAGAAGUAUUUCGGUAUGUAAAGCUCUAUCAGCAGGGAAGAAAAUGACAGUACCUGACCAAGAAGCCCCGGCCAACUACGUGCCAGCAGCCGCGGUAAUACGGAGGGGGCAAGCGUUAACCGGGUAUACUGGGUGUAAAGGGAGCGUAGACGGUUAUGUAAGUCUGGGGUGAAAGCCCGGGGCCCAACCCCGGGACUGCUUUGGACACUGUGUAACUGGAGUACGAGAGAGGCAAGCGGAAUUCCAGGUGUAGCGGUGAAAUGCGUAGAUAUCAGGAGGAACACCAGCGGCGAAGGCGGCCUGCUGGACUGAAACUGACGUUGAGGCUCGAAAGCGUGGGGAGCAAACAGGAUUAGAUACCCUAGUAGUC